GGGCUUAUUCGAUAUAAGUUAAAAAAUUCUACAACUAAGUAAUGAAUGGGUAGCAUGAGACCGACCUUCAGUGAUUCCUCGUAAAGGCCUAUCCGAUCUUGAUGAGGCAGAGCUAUCCGCUCUCCGAGAAUGGCGACUUCUAGUCUAAACUGGGUCAGGAUCUGGUACUUUAGUCUAAUGAUCUCCAAGUCCUUUGGGGUGAGGAUGGAGUUCACCCUAAACGGACCAAAGUC
RNAcentral lists this long non-coding RNA (233 nucleotides) under Elaeis guineensis (African oil palm). RNAcentral describes it as "long non-coding RNA (EGUI_LNC002707)". The record is from RNAcentral. Lineage: Eukaryota; Viridiplantae; Streptophyta; Magnoliopsida; Arecales; Arecaceae.